GUUUUUUUUAUUUAAUGAAGUUGCUACAACCAUGAAAUACAGCAACAUAUAGAUCAGGCUGGUGUAGUACAGAAAACAGUUCCACGUACCAACUAUACAGAGCAGGGUCAUGCACAGCAGUUGGAUUCUAAUCAAAUCAAACUUUAUUAGUCACAUGACCCCGAAUACAAAAAAAAAGUGUAGACCUCACAGUGGAAUGCUGACUUAUGAGCCCCUAACCAAUAGGUGUAGACCUCACAGUGGAAUGCUGACUUAUGAGCCCCUAACCAAUAGGUGUAGACCUCACAGUGGAAUGCUGACUUAUGAGCCCCUAACCAAUAGGUGUAGACCUCACAGUGGAAUGCUGACUUAUGAGCCCCUAACCAAUAGGUGUAGACCUCACAGUGGAAUGCUGACUUAUGAGCCCCUAACCAACAACGUAGUUGUAUAUGGAUAAGAAUAAGCAAUAAAAGUAACCCCAUAUUCAAGUAACCUAAUUAAAGAGCAGCAGUAAACUAACAAUAGUGAGACUAUAUACAGGGGGUAACGGUACAGAGUCAAUGUGGAGGCUAUAUACAGGGUGUUACGGUACAGAGUCAAUGUGGAGGCUAUAUACAGGGUAUUACGGUACAGAGUCAAUGUGGAGGCUAUAUACAGGGGGAACCGGUACAGAGUCAAUGUGGAGGCUAUAUACAGGGGGUACCGGUACAGAGUCAAUGUGGAGGCUAUAUACAGGGGGCACCGGUACAGAGUCAAUGUGCCGGGGCACCGGUUAGUUGAGGUAAUAUGUACAUAGAGUUAUUAAAGUGACAAUGCAUAGAUGAUAACAACAGAGAGUAACAGUGGUGUAAAAGAGGGGGGCAAUGCAAAUAGUCUGGGGAGCCAUUUGAUUAGUUGUUCAGGAGACUUAUGGCUUGGGGGUAGAAGCUGUUUAGGAGCCUCUUGGACCUAGACUUGGCACUCUGGUACCGCUUGCCAUGCGGUAGCAGAGAGAAAGACUAGAGUGGCUGGAGUCUGACAAUUUUUAGGGCCUUCCUCUGACGCAGCCUGGUAUAGAGGUCCUGGAUGGCAGGAAGCUUGUCCCCAGUGAUGUACUGGGCCAUACGCAUUACCCUCUGUAGUGGCUUACGGUCGGAGGCCGAGCAGUUACCAUAACAGGCAUUGAUGCAACUAGUCAGGAUGCUCUCGAUGGUGCAGCUGUAGAACCUUUUGAGGAUCUGAGGACCCAUGACAAAUAUUUUGUCUCCUGAGGGGGAAUAGGUUUUGUUUUGCCCUCUUCUCUUAUCUUGGUGUGCUUGGACCAUGUUAGUUUGUUGGUGAUGUGGACACCAAGGAACUUGAAGCUCUCAACCUGCUCCACUGCAGCCCCGGCGAUGAGAAUGGGGGCGUGCUUAGUCCUUUUUUUCCCUGUAGUCCACAAUCAUCCCCUUUGUCUUGAUCACGUUGAUGGAGAGGUUGUUGUCCUGGCACCACACGGCCAGGUCUCUGACCUACUCCCUAUAGGCUGUCUCGUCGUUGAGGGAGAGGUUGUUGUCCUGGCACCUCCCGGCCAGGUCUCUGACCUCCUCCCUAUAGGCUGUCUCGUCGUUGAGGGAGAGGUUGUUGUCCUGGCACCUCCCGGCUAGGUCUCUGAUCUCCUCCCUAUAGGCUGUCUCGUCGUUGAGGGAGAGGUUGUUGUCCUGGCACCUCACGGCCAGGUCUCUGACCUCCUCCCAAUAGGCUGUCUCAUCGUUGAGGGAGAGGUUGUUGUCCUGGCACCUCACGGCCAGGUCUCUGACCUCCUCCCUAUAGGCUGUCUCAUCUGGCACCACACGGCCAGGUCUCUGACCUCCUCCCUAUAGUCUUUCUCAUCGUUGAGGGAGAGGUUGUUGUCCUGGCACCUCACGGCCAGGUCUCUGACCUCCUCCCUAUAGGCUGUCUCGUCGUUGAGGGAGAGGUUGUUGUCCUGGCACCUCACGGCCAGGUCUCUGACCUCCUCCCUAUAGGCUGUCUCGUCGUUGUCGGUGAUCAGGCCUACGGUUCUGGUCUGGGUUGUUUUAUGGGACGCUGCAUAUUUCUGACCGGUCUCAUCAUGUCAAAGCUUUUAAACAUUUAAAAAAUUGGAGUUGUCAGCUGGUGAGCAGAGCCUGGUCCCAGAUCAGUUUGUUCUCUUGAUAACUCCAAUGCUGUCAUUGUCAAGCUAAAUGAGUGACAAGGAGUUGGCAUGACAGCACAGACAGACUGGCACUCAGUCUAGAACUCAGGCUAGCAUGAUCAUAGUUCCCUUCAACAACGAUGACAAAACUCAAUACGAAAGUAAGAUACGAUUUAUCGGCAAAUCAAUGAUUCCUGAAACACAAGAGGCAUAAAAUAUAUAAAAUAUGAACAUAAUGUCCACUCCCAAUAUAGUGCACUACGUAGGAAAUAUGGUACAAUUUGGGACACACCCAAUAAUCAAGUUCAGUCCGUGGUCAUCACCACCACCUAGCACUUCAAGUAACCAAGGCCAUAAUAACCCAAUAUUUAUUUAACCUUUAUUUAACUAGGCAAGUCAGUUAAGAACAAAUUCUUAUUUUCAAUGACGGUCUAGGAACAGUGGGUUUAACUGCCUGUUCAGGGGCAGAAUGACAGAUUUGUACCUUGUCAGCUCGGGGGUUUGAACUUGCAAUCUUCCUGUUACUAGACCAACGCUCUAACCACUAGGCUACCCUGCCACCAAGUAACCAAGGCCAUAAUAACCCCAUAUCAAGUAACCAAGGCCAUAAUAACCCGAUAUCAAGUAACCAAGGCCGUAAUAACCCGAUAUCAAGUAACCAAGGCCAUAAUAACCCGAUAUCAGGUAAGCAUGGCCGUAAUAUGGCCUUCCCCUGGGCCUACCCAACAUGUCAGUAGCUAUUAAAAUGUCUAUGACAUCUUUUUGUCAACGUAAUACAGUAUUUCAAACAAGGAAACACAUUACAUAUCAAUAGACAGUUGCUUCAGUCCAAAGGAGGAAGAGAGUCCAGUAGUAGUCUGCAGUUCACAACCAACCAGCCAAUGGUAAGCCAGCAGCCAAUGGUAAGCCAGCAGCCAAUGGUAAGCCAGCAGCCAAUGGUAAGCCAGCAGCCAAUGGUAAGCCAGCA
Long non-coding RNA from Oncorhynchus tshawytscha (Chinook salmon), 3080 nucleotides. The record is from Ensembl. NCBI's taxonomy places the organism in Eukaryota, Metazoa, Chordata, Actinopteri, Salmoniformes, Salmonidae.